This 767-nucleotide ribosomal RNA is filed under the name Microbacteriaceae bacterium. RNAcentral describes it as "bacterial SSU rRNA". It matches the Rfam family "Bacterial small subunit ribosomal RNA", at positions 27 to 803 of the family's 1533-position model. Lineage: Bacteria; Bacillati; Actinomycetota; Actinomycetes; Micrococcales; Microbacteriaceae. The record is from RNAcentral.
GGAUGAACGCUGGCGGCGUGCUUAACACAUGCAAGUCGAACGGUGAAAGAGGGAGCUUGCUUCCUCUGGAUCAGUGGCGAACGGGUGAGUAACACGUGAGUAACCUGCCCUUGACUCUGGGAUAAGCGUUGGAAACGACGUCUAAUACCGGAUACGAGCUUCAGCCGCAUGGCUAGGAGCUGGAAAGAACUUCGGUCAAGGAUGGACUCGCGGCCUAUCAGGUAGUUGGUGAGGUAACGGCCCACCAAGCCUACGACGGGUAGCCGGCCUGAGAGGGUGACCGGCCACACUGGGACUGAGACACGGCCCAGACUCCUACGGGAGGCAGCAGUGGGGAAUAUUGCACAAUGGGCGCAAGCCUGAUGCAGCAACGCCGCGUGAGGGACGACGGCCUUCGGGUUGUAAACCUCUUUUAGUAGGGAAGAAGCGAAAGUGACGGUACCUGCAGAAAAAGCACCGGCUAACUACGUGCCAGCAGCCGCGGUAAUACGUAGGGUGCAAGCGUUAUCCGGAAUUAUUGGGCGUAAAGAGCUCGUAGGCGGUUUGUCGCGUCUGCUGUGAAAACUGGAGGCUCAACCUCCAGCCUGCAGUGGGUACGGGCAAACUAGAGUGCGGUAGGGGAGAUUGGAAUUCCUGGUGUAGCGGUGGAAUGCGCAGAUAUCAGGAGGAACACCGAUGGCGAAGGCAGAUCUCUGGGCCGUAACUGACGCUGAGGAGCGAAAGCGUGGGGAGCGAACAGGAUUAGAUACCCUGGUAGUCCACGCCGU